RNAcentral lists this ribosomal RNA (1301 nucleotides) under Chrysopera combinans. RNAcentral describes it as "16S ribosomal RNA". Lineage: Eukaryota; Metazoa; Arthropoda; Insecta; Lepidoptera; Erebidae. The record is from RNAcentral.
UUUAAAUAUAAUAAAUAUUAAUAACUUAAUGGGGGUUAAAGUAUAUUAAUAGAAAAAAUUAAAAAUUUUAUAGUGGAUUAGUAUUGUAAAAGAAUUUUGAAAUAAUUGAAAAUAAAAUAAUGUAAAAGUAAUUUUAAUUUAGUGUAUCUUGUGUAUCAGAGUUUAUUAAAAAAGAUUUUUUUAAUAAAAAUUCUCGAAUUUAAGAGAGAUAAUUAAUUAAUAAAGUUAUUGUGGCAUAAAUAUUUUUAAUAAUUAAUUUGAAAUGAAAUGUUAAUCGUUCUUAAAUAUAUCUAGUUUUUUUAGAAAAAAAUUUAAUUUUAAAUUUAUUAAAUAAGUUUUUAAUUAAUUAAAAACUUAUUUAAUAAAUUUUAUAAUUUAAGGGAUAAGCUUUAAAUUAAAUUAAAUAUAAUUUAAAAAUAUUUUUUUUUUGAAAUUUAUAUGAUUUAUAUUGUUAAUUAAUUAUAAUUUAUUAUAAAUAAUUUCAUAAAUAUAUAAAAUUUAAUAAAAAUUUAUAAUAAUUAUAAAAAAAUAAUUUAAAAUAAUUUAAAAUUAGUUAUAAUGAUAAAAUUAGUAUAUAAUUUUUAUUUAUUUAAUUAUUAAUUAUAAUAAUUAUUUAAAAGGAAUUCGGCAAAAUUUUAUGUUCACUUGUUUAUCAAAAACAUGUCUUUUUGUAAAUAAUUUAAAGUCUAAUCUGCCCACUGAUUUUUAAUUAAAGGGCUGCAGUAUUUUGACUGUACAAAGGUAGCAUAAUCAUUAGUCAUUUAAUUGAUGACUUGUAUGAAAGAUUGGAUGAAAUAUAGACUGUCUCUUAAAUAAAAUGUAGAAUUUAAUUUUUUAAUUAAAAAGUUAAAAUAAAUUAAAAAGACGAGAAGACCCUAUAGAGUUUUAUAAAUGAAUUUUAUUGAAAUUAUUUUUAAAUUUUUAAAUAUUUAAAUAAUUUUAUUUAUUUUGUUGGGGUGAUAGAAAAAUAAGUAAAACUUUUUUUAUUUAUUAACAUAUAUAAGUGAGUUAUUGAUCCAGUAUUAUUGAUUAAAAGAAAAAAUUACCUUAGGGAUAACAGCGUAAUUUUUUUUUUUAGUUCAAAUAAGAAAAAGAGUUUGCGACCUCGAUGUUGGAUUAAGAUAAAAUUUAAAUGCAGAAGUUUAAAAUUUUGAUCUGUUCGAUCAUUAAAAUCUUACAUGAUCUGAGUUCAAACCGGUGUGAGCCAGGUUGGUUUCUAUCUUUUAAAAAAAAAAAUAUUUUAGUACGAAAGGAUUAAAUAUUUAAAUUAAAUUUAUUAAUUUGAAUUUUAUUAAAUAAUU